UAAAAUGUAAACUCACGGUUUCGGCCCGUGUCAAGGCAUUGUUACGCCCAUUUUGU
Molecule: transfer RNA, 56 nt
Filed under: Platynereis massiliensis
Lineage: Eukaryota; Metazoa; Annelida; Polychaeta; Phyllodocida; Nereididae
Description: tRNA-Arg
Source: RNAcentral